AUGAUAUUCUCCAUCUCAUGUGAGCAGAUCAAGGAUGACCUAUUGCAGUUGAUGGGGUUCCAGGAAAAGCUUUUUACCGCUUAAGUAUCUAGGGGUGCCUCUAAUUGGGAGGGACGUCAAAGGUGCAGACUGUGUUCCGCUAAUCGACCAACUAAAUUCGUAUCUCCAGAAAUGGAAGAAUAGAGCUUUGUCAUAUGGAGGAAAAGUCCAACUUGCUAAUUGGGUCUUAGUGGGCA
This 236-nucleotide long non-coding RNA is filed under the name Zostera marina. Its description in RNAcentral is "long non-coding RNA (ZMAR_LNC004211)". The record is from RNAcentral. Lineage: Eukaryota; Viridiplantae; Streptophyta; Magnoliopsida; Alismatales; Zosteraceae.